This 303-nucleotide long non-coding RNA is filed under the name Sinocyclocheilus anshuiensis. RNAcentral's name for it is "lncRNA (ENSSANG00000030432.1)". Lineage: Eukaryota; Metazoa; Chordata; Actinopteri; Cypriniformes; Cyprinidae. The record is from RNAcentral.
UUUUUAUCAUCACUACAGCUUCAUGAAACUCUUUCUAGUAAAGGAAUAGACGUGUUGCACUUAAAAAUCUUGACUUCCUCAACACAUGCACGAAAACGAAGUGUGGAAACAAAGUCAUUUAAAUUGGAUAGAAAGGUAAAAACUUCCUCAAACAUCACAGAGACAAUAAACCUGAUUGACAGACUUCUGGAGAAACCAUACACCAGUGGAGCAGUAUUCUUAUAUGCCCAACCCGAGGACAUUUUCAUUUCUUAUAUUGGUAUGUGCUGCAUCUGACCAGACGAUGGGAGGAUCAGAUCAUGA